RNAcentral lists this non-coding RNA (64 nucleotides) under Streptomyces eurythermus. Lineage: Bacteria; Bacillati; Actinomycetota; Actinomycetes; Kitasatosporales; Streptomycetaceae. RNAcentral also lists the same sequence under 1 other name. The record is from RNAcentral.
AGCCGAAACGCCCUCCGGGGCGUCGUCCGGGAUUGGUCUACCGGGCCUGAUGAGGCAGACCACA